AGGUGACGACGAGACCGGGCGGCGGCGGCGGCUGCGUUGCGAGUUGCGACGGGCGGCGGCAAAAGCGAGCAGCAAGGGCGCAGCCGCCGAACGGCCGAAGGCCGGCCGCAAGCGGCGGCACCGAUGCGGCGUGGGCACUGCCGCACUGGGUAGGCCAUAGGAAAGCAGCAGCAAGGCAGCAACUAGCAGAGCAGCAAGCGCUAGCGAUCCAGCCGAUCCAAAUCCAAGUGCCGAGCGCGCCAGCGCGAUUAGCGAUGGAGAAGAAAACAACAUUGUUAAACUUUCAACUGAUGAGAGUAAAAAUCAACCAAAAAGGCCUCAAAUAUUCAAAAAAAUUGAUGAUGAUGCAAUCAUGAAUAGAUUUCAAGCAUUGAAAACCCGCAGAAUAUCAUUGCCUCGUAAUUCAAUUGCAGGUGGCUGCUCACUUUAGAUGGUUGAUGCUUUGAUGCAAAUAUGCAAUCACUCAUUUCCCGUUGGCAAGAUUCGCCGCCACUGGUAAUUGAUAUCUCCGCCUAUGGAGCGUUUUGGGUUUGUGCAACAGGGUAAGGUUUUACGGUGGGCCCGUGCAACCAGGUUAGAUUAUGUAGUGCUGGUUUAAUUUUCCUUAAUUAUUCAACUAUUUUUGUAUUAUCAAUUGAUUAUCAAAUGCUAUUUGUUCAAAUUAGCCCUAGUAUACUCUCGUUUGUUAUAUGAUAUACACUUGCAUAUUUGGAUAUUUGUUAUAUUUGUUAUGUGGCUUGUUGAGUAUACAAUAUGCUCCUCUUAUAAUAAGCUACCAUAUGCUGUUCCUGGUUAAGCUGUCCAUAUAGUGGAGUCGUCGCUUAUGCUAGUUUUUUCCUUCCACUGCUUAGAACUCUUACGAUUGAGAGGUUAUCCACAUCUAUCAUAAUUAAACACUUAUACCUGUUGUUAAUAUUGUUUAUUACUUAUCUCGACUAAUUCCUGAACGAGAGUUAAAUAUACAUAUAAGUGUUUGAAAUUAUACAUAAAAAUUUCGGGAGUGAAAAGUUGAUAUGAGAGGCUCCUUGGCUUUAGCCUAAGCCAAAUGAAAAUAUAUAGAAGCCUUUCCAAAAAGAUUUGAAAAAUUAGGACCGCUUUUCUCCAUUCCUCUUUAAUAGUAUAUAUACAUCAUUUCUUUGAUUUCUUCUUUUUCUGAGAAAAUAUUCUAAAGAAAUAAAAUUUUGCAUUUUUCUUUUAUAAAUCUGGUGCCGCGCAUACUCUUUCCUUCUAAAUAGUAAUGUACUUCUUACUGUCCUGUUUAUGCUUUCUUAAAAAAUUAAUUAGAAAUUGGUACCGUACGAUCCUUAAUUUGCUUUUAGUAUUAUCACGUUCUUGAAAAAAGAACUUUUUUUUUGGUUUUGUACGUACAGUAAGACCCAUCGUUUCAAAAAAUCAACCAGUUUGAAAAGGACAAGAUUUAAUUUCUUUAAUCUGAAAAUGUUUUAUUCUGGAAAAGGAUUUAUUUUAUUCCGGAAAUUGAUUAUUUAAAAUCUGAAAAAUAAUUUAUUUCAAAAAAUAAGAAAACUUUAAAAGAUAUUUCUGAAUUUUGUUUGAUUUACUUUCGCUUUCUGGUUUUAGUUUUUAUUUUCACUAGUUUUCAGUUAUUUCUGUAUUUUCAGUUAACCUAACUCAAUCAAUGAGACUAUCCAUUUGUUCGAAGUUGGUGGUAUAGUUACGGAGCUGCACAUAGGAUUCAAGCUAACCCCAAGUAGAAACGCAUCACCCCUGCCCCUGACAUAAAUGAGAAGUGUCAUAUUCAUCGUCAAUAACUGUUAUGUUCGUCUGACGGCGACAAUUAAGUGAUCGUUAAGGCAUCUUGUUCAUGAUCUUCGAAACUGGAGGAAGGAACUUUUGCCCAUAUGUAUCAAGAGGUGGCAUUGGUGGCCAUCCGAGAACUUUGUCAUAGGUAUAGUGAGCUCUUGAGGGACACCUAUUAUUGUUACGAUCCAUCUAUGGCCCACAAUGAUGAGUACAACAAUUACUGGAACCAGAGACGGAGAACAAUUCUACUACUUCCUCCGUCCCAGAAUAUAGCAAUAUAGAACUAGAUGGGACAUCACCUAGUACCGUAUCUGGACAUGCUCUACUACUUCCUCCGUCCCAGAAUAUAGCAAUCUACAUGUCCAGUACAUCGUACUAGGUGAUGUCCAAUCUAGUUCUCGGUUGCUAUAUUUUGGGACGGACGGAGUAUGCAAUACUUUGUGAGGAUGUUGAGUGCAAUGGACAAUGGACUGAUGUAAUGAUAGGCUGAUAGCGGCUCAUGAAUAGGAGAAUUAAUGACAAGUGUAUCAAGAUCUGCAGAGGACAAAACCAGAUAGAUCACUUGAAGGAGGAGCUGGCACAACUGUAGGUAGAAGCAUCCCCUAGAGGAGCUAGCUAGGAUCCGCACCACGGAUAGGAAGGGUUCAUCUUCCUCCAUGCUUACAGCUGGCAUCAUUGCAUCAAGACCUGCGUGUUGAAUAACAAUAAUGUUCCACUUAGGAUCAUUUCCCCAUUUAUGCACAACAUUAAUUGUUGGUGAUGAAGAAGAAGAUUCCAAAUAGGCAAGAGGACGCUUAGCUUCAGAUGAGCCAUUCAGUUGUGGAAUUGGGUGAAACAGAGGAUGAAGAGAUGUCUCUCUAAGUAUGACUCAUAUUGAAGUCCUUCUCCUCGGUAGAACGUGUGCCUAGUAUGGUUGUGUUAGUUUGCCUGUUCGUGUGUGUGAGUUAGCAUGUGGACAAUAUCAGGGUUGUGAUAUAGCUAUAUGUAUUAAGUUGUUAAUUUGAGUGCGAGAGUUAAAUUAGAGUUUGAGUGUGUCUGAAUAGUUAAAUAGUAAAUUACUCCCUUUAAAACAACUAGGGAGGUAGCCUGCGCAUUCGCGCGGGCAUGUAUUAUAAAUUGUGUUUGAAAAACUUAUAUACGUGGAAUAUCAAUUGAAUGACACCUGCCAUAUUUC
RNAcentral lists this small RNA (2935 nucleotides) under Oryza sativa Japonica Group (Japanese rice). RNAcentral describes it as "sRNA Os12g0199200". The record is from RNAcentral. Lineage: Eukaryota; Viridiplantae; Streptophyta; Magnoliopsida; Poales; Poaceae.